This 73-nucleotide transfer RNA is filed under the name Araneus ventricosus. RNAcentral's name for it is "tRNA-Val". The record is from RNAcentral. Lineage: Eukaryota; Metazoa; Arthropoda; Arachnida; Araneae; Araneidae.
UGGUUCCGCCCGGGAUCGAACCGGGGACCUUUCGCGUGUAAAGCGAACGUGAUAACCACUACACUACGGAACC